GCAAAGCACACGGCCUGCAGAGAGC
Molecule: non-coding RNA, 25 nt
Filed under: Dasypus novemcinctus (nine-banded armadillo)
Lineage: Eukaryota; Metazoa; Chordata; Mammalia; Cingulata; Dasypodidae
Also listed under: 2 other names
Source: RNAcentral